This 30-nucleotide non-coding RNA is filed under the name Mus musculus (house mouse). The record is from RNAcentral. Lineage: Eukaryota; Metazoa; Chordata; Mammalia; Rodentia; Muridae.
UGGGUUGUGCCCCAUAGAACCUUUGAGUUA